Oncorhynchus keta (chum salmon) is the source of this 2228-nucleotide RNA transcript. RefSeq lists it as uncharacterized. The transcript is spliced from 3 exons. The record is from RefSeq and is a predicted model, not a curated record. Lineage: Eukaryota; Metazoa; Chordata; Actinopteri; Salmoniformes; Salmonidae.
ACUUCAACCAUAGACAUUCUCUACAUUUUAGACAUUUAGCAGAUGCUCUUAUUCAGAGCAAAUUACAGGAGCAAUUAGAGUUAAGUGUAGAAUAAUAGCUUUUCCUUCACUCUGCCGCCCAACUCAUCCCAAACCAUCUCAAUUGGGUUGAGGUCGGGUGAUUGUGGAGGCCAGGUCAUCUGAUGCAGCACUUCAUCACUCUCUGUCUUGGUCAAAUAGCCCUUACACAGCCUGGAGGUUUGUUGGGUCAUUGUCCUGUUGAAAAACAAAUGAUAGUCCCACUAAGCGCAAACCAGAUGGGAUGGCAUAUCGCUGCAGAAUGCUGUGGUAGCCAUGCUGGUUAAGUGUGCCUUGAAUUCUAAAUAAAUGACUGACAGUGUCAUCAGCAAAGCACUAUCUCAUCUCCUCCUCCAUGCUUCACGGUGGAAACCACAUGUGGAUAUCAUCCAUUCACCUACUCUGCGUCUCACAAAGACACAGAGGUUGGAACCAAAAAUCUCAAAUUUUGACUCAUCACAUCAAUAGACAGAUUUCCUCUGGUCUAAUGCCUGUUGCUAGUGUUUCUUGGCCCUAGCAAGUCUCUUCUUAUUAUUGUUGUCCUUUAAUAGUGGUUUCUUUGCAGCAAUUCAACCAUGAAGGCCUGAUUCACGCAGUCUCCUCUGAAAAGUUGAUGUUGAGAUGUGCCUGUUACUUGAACUCUGUGAAGCAUUUAUUUGGGCUGCAAUUUCUGAGGUGCAGUUAACUCUAACGAAUGUAUCCUUUGCAGCAGAGGUAACUCUGGGUCUUCCUUUCCUGUGGUGGUCCUCAUGAGAGCCAGUUUCAUCAUAGCGCUUGGUGAUUUUUGCGACUGCACUUGAAGAAACUUUCAAAGUUCUUGAAAUGUUCCGUAUUGACUGACCUUCAUGUCAUAAGUCGCUCUGGAUAAGAGCGUCUGCUAAAUGACUUAAAUGUAAAUGUAAAUAAAGUAAUGAUGGGCAGUCGUUUUCCUUUGCUUAUUUGAGCUGUUCUUGUCAUAAUAUGGACUUGGUCUUUUACCAAAUAAGGCUAUCAUCUAUAUACCACCCCUACCUUGCACAACACAACUGAUUGGCUCAAACGCAUUAAGAAGGAAAGAAAUUCCAUGAACUUUUAACAAGGCACACCUGUUAAUUGUAAAGCGUUCCACAUGACUAUCUCAUGAAGCUGGUUGAGAGAAUGCCAAGAGUGUGCAAAGCUGUCAUCAAGUCAAAGGGUGGCUAAUUGGAACACUUGUUUGGUUACUACAUGAUUCCAUUAACUCGGUCUACCCACUCCAAUGAGGGUUUGCUUCUAGGCUGGAAGCUGUGGGUAGCAGUGGGAGCAGCAAGUGCCAUACUGGUUUCACUGCUAGUGGUCAUCUGGAUCCUACUACAACGAAGGAGAAGCAAAAUACAAAGAGAGAAUCCUAUCUAUACCAAUAUGCCUGCAAUAAAACAACCCUCUCCGCGUCCAGGACUACAGAUGGACAAACAGAAGAUUUCUCCCACUUUAAAAUAUAUCAGGACCCCAACUCCAGCCAGAACCCACGACAACAAACACAUCAGGAUCCCAACUCCAGCCAGAAUCCAUGACAACAAACACAUCAGGAUCCCAAUUCCACACAGGGCAAAUGACAACAAACCCCUCACCGAGACCCCGAAUCCACCUAGAGCCCAUGAUGGCAAACAUCUUCCAACUCCUGCCAGGGCACAUGACCUCAGGACCCCAACUCCACCCAGGGCCCAUGACAGCAAAUAAAACUUAAAACCUUGACUUUUUAUGAUUCAUAUUUCCUAUCCUGAAUCUUCCAACAAAUCAAACUAUCUCAGCAAGUAAUUUAAUCCUGUAAGUGUAGUGCAACUCUGUCCUAUCUUACAGAGCCAUCACUUCAGUAUUGUUUUUGGUUGCUGUUAAUUAAUUUUCCAGCAGAUGGCAUGCUAUGGUAGCCUACUAAAUUAGGAUACAUUAUAGUUGUCUAAAUAUUAUUCUCAGGGUCAUUUAAAAAGUUACCCCAGUUCAGUAAAGCAUCAUUUAGUAAUAAGGAAAAUAAGUGCUAUUUUCUGGAAGGUAAUUUGUAUAGGUAGCCUUUGUAAAAAAGACUUUGAGCAACACAUAUUGGGCUUGAAACACAUCUAUCGCUGUUUAUAGUGCAUUCAUAAAAUUCCAUAUUUCAAUCUUUUCUUGUAAUGGUAGCACAAAAAUUGUGAACCAAUAAAGUAUGUGACUGGCAA